GGAAGGUUGGCAGAGCGGUCGAUUGCAUCGGUUUUGAAAACCGAAGGGUGUUAAUAGCAUUCCGUGGGUUCAAAUCCCACACCUUCUUCCA
RNAcentral lists this transfer RNA (91 nucleotides) under Ochrobactrum phage vB_OspM_OC. RNAcentral describes it as "tRNA-Ser". It matches the Rfam family "tRNA". From Rfam's summary of the family: Transfer RNA (tRNA) molecules are approximately 80 nucleotides in length. Their secondary structure includes four short double-helical elements and three loops (D, anti-codon, and T loops). The record is from RNAcentral. Lineage: Duplodnaviria; Heunggongvirae; Uroviricota; Caudoviricetes; Pantevenvirales; Kyanoviridae.